RNAcentral lists this small RNA (543 nucleotides) under Pan troglodytes (chimpanzee). Its description in RNAcentral is "retained intron". Lineage: Eukaryota; Metazoa; Chordata; Mammalia; Primates; Hominidae. The record is from RNAcentral.
CUUGCAAAGGGAGGCUGAGUGCUGUCUUUCAGGUUGACACCUUCCCGGGGUAUGGGACACUGCAGGCUGGGAUGAACUGGGCCUUCCUGAGUAGUUAUGGGGCUGUGGGAGGAAAUGGAACCUCAGUGUCUUGCUCCUACCCUCCCCACCCCCACUUGCUUCAUCCUGCCCUGUAGCCCUCUGCAAUCCUGCGAGACGGCACUCUGAUUACUCCUCGCCUCUCUCCCAGGUCUACUGGCAUCUGUCCCUUCCUGUGUGGAAGACCUCAGUCACCCUGUGGCAGAGCCCAGCUCGAGCCAGGCUGGCAGCAUGAGCAGUGCAGGCCCAAGACCACUACCCAGUGGCCCAGCAUCCCCCAAACGCAAGCUGGAAGCAGCCGAGGAACCACCUGGUGAAGAACUCAGCAAACGGGCCCGGGUGGCAGAGUUGCCAACCCCAGAGCUGCCGAGCAAGGAUGCCUGAGACUGCAGAGCCCUUGCUCCGUGAGCAAAGCCUGGGUGCCCAAGCAGCCACCGCAGCAGCAGAGUACAACCUGCAGAGAAG